GUUUUAAAAAUAAUUGACAAUGUAGCUAAACUGCUAAUCGUUACAUGAUACAAAUUCAAAUAUGAUUCUGUUAAUCAUUGUAUUCAUGAAGAAAGCAAUAAUUCAGUUAUUCUAUUUAUACAUAAUAAUAUAUCGUUAUUAAAUAACGCAAACAUAUCCACUCUAGUGUCAGCUUUUAUCAGUCGUAUGACAUAUCAGGAAAGCGUUUCCUCUUUUUCUAUUUCUUUUUUCAACAACAUCCAAUUAAUAUACAAGUAGUAUUGCUAAGAUAAAGCGAUUGUUAUGUCUAUGUGAGAAUAUUUUAUAGCCAUAAACAUGCAAAAGUAUAAGCGACACUUAUAUGAGAUGACCAAUUGCCCAAGGACCAGUUAUGAGAUCGGCAAAGAAAAAGAGAGAAUCAGUGUAUCUUUAAAUUUUUGUCUGUCUAGUAAAAGAGGAAAUAACAGAAGAGUCACAAGAAAGAAGAUGAACAGUUUCACUUAAUAAAAGCUUGUUCGGCCAAUCCUGCUCAGGCGGCCAUUCCGGGAUGAAGACAAAGUCUGCCUCGGAGCACAUGGCUGCCACCAGUGCCAGUGACGACCCAUGACCUCCAUAAUGAAUGUCCGUUGAUGUGAAUAAGCUGUACUGACAAUGGCAUCGAUGCUCUCAAUUAUUCUAUGCAGAGCAGAAUCUGUACCAAUCGUCAUAUCGGUGCCACAGAAAUCAUUGUCAAUGGAACCAACCAGACCAACGAUAUGAAGAUGCAGAUAUUUUUCAUAUUGCUCUGCCGUGAUGUCUCCUAAUAAAUAAAAGAUAUAUUUUAUAUUA
Long non-coding RNA from Cephus cinctus (wheat stem sawfly), 807 nucleotides. RefSeq lists it as uncharacterized. The transcript is spliced from 3 exons. The record is from RefSeq and is a predicted model, not a curated record. NCBI's taxonomy places the organism in Eukaryota, Metazoa, Arthropoda, Insecta, Hymenoptera, Cephidae.